RNAcentral lists this ribosomal RNA (426 nucleotides) under uncultured bacterium. RNAcentral describes it as "partial 16S ribosomal RNA". It matches the Rfam family "Bacterial small subunit ribosomal RNA", at positions 354 to 796 of the family's 1533-position model. The record is from RNAcentral.
GUGAGGAAUUUUCCGCAAUGGGCGAAAGCCUGACGGAGCAAUGCCGCGUGAAGGAUGAAGGCCUAUGGGUUGUAAACUUCUUUUCUCAGAAAAGAAUUAUGACGGUAUCUGAGGAAUAAGCAUCGGCUAACUCUGUGCCAGCAGCCGCGGUAAGACAGAGGAUGCAAGCGUUAUCCGGAAUGAUUGGGCGUAAAGCGUCUGUAGGUUGUUUAAAAAGUAUUCUGUCAAAGAUUAGGGCUUAACCCUAGAUAGGCAGAAUAAACUUUUAAGCUAGAGUUUGGUAGAGGCAGAGGGAAUUCCCGGUGGAGCGGUGAAAUGUGUAGACAUCGGGAGGAACACCAAAGGCGAAGGCACUCUGCUGGGCCAAUACUAACACUGAGAGACGAAAGCGAGGGGAGCAAAUGGGAUUAGAAACCCGGGUAGUCC